AAAAAGUUUUAUUCUUGCUUUAUUGUAUGCUGAUAGAAUAAUUUAUAUAUAAUAGAAUUACUUGAUGUGUAAUUAAUUGUAGUAAGUAUUAUUGUACAAUCAAUUGUAUUUGGAUACGGUAAUUUUGUUAAUAUUGGUUAAAUGCGUGCCAGCUGCCGCGGUUAGACGUGAAAUGUAAGUAUAUAUUUUUGGUAAAAGGUUAAUAGAUAAAUUGAAUUGGGGGAGGAUGAAUAUUGAAAUGGUGAAAUAUUUUUUUGUUGGGAUUAAUUGAUUGAUAUAUUAUGAAGCUUUGAAAUUUAAAUGUGAAACUAGGAUUAGAUACCCUAUUAUUUUUAAUGUAAGGAUUAAGGCUGGGGUAGUAAUAGUUGGUCUUGAAACUCAAAGAAUUUGGCGGUGUUUUAGUCUUUUCAGGGGAAUCUGUCUCGUAAUUGAUGAUACACGAAUGGAUAUACUUGAUCUUGUUGUAGUAUGUAUACCGCCGUCGUAAGAUUAUUUUUUGAGAAUAAUUUUCUUAAUUUUGUAUUAAAUUAUAUGUCAGGUCAAGGUGCAGCUUAUGAUUAAGUGAUGAUGGAUUACAAUAAUAUUAAUUAUGAUGGAUAAUUAUUUUGAGUUAAUUUGAAGGUGGACUUGAUUGUAAAUUUAUUUUAAUUUUUUGAUUGAUUUGAGCUCUAAAAUGUGUACAUAUCGCCCGUCGCUCUCGUUAUUAAGAUGAGAUAAGUCGUAACAUAGUAGAUGUACCGGAAGGUGUAUCUAGAAGUG
Molecule: non-coding RNA, 759 nt
Filed under: Xenogryllus marmoratus
Lineage: Eukaryota; Metazoa; Arthropoda; Insecta; Orthoptera; Gryllidae
Source: RNAcentral